RNAcentral lists this ribosomal RNA (1236 nucleotides) under Bacillus sp. (in: firmicutes). Its description in RNAcentral is "bacterial SSU rRNA". It matches the Rfam family "Bacterial small subunit ribosomal RNA", at positions 127 to 1350 of the family's 1533-position model. The record is from RNAcentral. Lineage: Bacteria; Bacillati; Bacillota; Bacilli; Caryophanales; Bacillaceae.
UGCCUGUAAGACUGGGAUAACUCCGGGAAACCGGAGCUAAUACCGGAUAGUUCCUUGAACCGCAUGGUUCAAGGAUGAAAGACGGUUUCGGCUGUCACUUACAGAUGGACCCGCGGCGCAUUAGCUAGUUGGUGAGGUAACGGCUCACCAAGGCGACGAUGCGUAGCCGACCUGAGAGGGUGAUCGGCCACACUGGGACUGAGACACGGCCCAGACUCCUACGGGAGGCAGCAGUAGGGAAUCUUCCGCAAUGGACGAAAGUCUGACGGAGCAACGCCGCGUGAGUGAUGAAGGUUUUCGGAUCGUAAAGCUCUGUUGUUAGGGAAGAACAAGUGCAAGAGUAACUGCUUGCACCUUGACGGUACCUAACCAGAAAGCCACGGCUAACUACGUGCCAGCAGCCGCGGUAAUACGUAGGUGGCAAGCGUUGUCCGGAAUUAUUGGGCGUAAAGGGCUCGCAGGCGGUUUCUUAAGUCUGAUGUGAAAGCCCCCGGCUCAACCGGGGAGGGUCAUUGGAAACUGGGAAACUUGAGUGCAGAAGAGGAGAGUGGAAUUCCACGUGUAGCGGUGAAAUGCGUAGAGAUGUGGAGGAACACCAGUGGCGAAGGCGACUCUCUGGUCUGUAACUGACGCUGAGGAGCGAAAGCGUGGGGAGCGAACAGGAUUAGAUACCCUGGUAGUCCACGCCGUAAACGAUGAGUGCUAAGUGUUAGGGGGUUUCCGCCCCUUAGUGCUGCAGCUAACGCAUUAAGCACUCCGCCUGGGGAGUACGGUCGCAAGACUGAAACUCAAAGGAAUUGACGGGGGCCCGCACAAGCGGUGGAGCAUGUGGUUUAAUUCGAAGCAACGCGAAGAACCUUACCAGGUCUUGACAUCCUCUGACAACCCUAGAGAUAGGGCUUUCCCUUCGGGGACAGAGUGACAGGUGGUGCAUGGUUGUCGUCAGCUCGUGUCGUGAGAUGUUGGGUUAAGUCCCGCAACGAGCGCAACCCUUGAUCUUAGUUGCCAGCAUUCAGUUGGGCACUCUAAGGUGACUGCCGGUGACAAACCGGAGGAAGGUGGGGAUGACGUCAAAUCAUCAUGCCCCUUAUGACCUGGGCUACACACGUGCUACAAUGGACAGAACAAAGGGCUGCGAGACCGCAAGGUUUAGCCAAUCCCACAAAUCUGUUCUCAGUUCGGAUCGCAGUCUGCAACUCGACUGCGUGAAGCUGGAAUCGCUAGUAAUCGCGGAUC